CACGUAGGCACCAAGCGUUGUCCGGAUUUAUUGGGCGUAAAGAGCUCGUAGGCGGUUCGGUAAGUCGGGUGUGAAAACUCUGGGCUCAACCCAGAGUCGCCACCCGAUACUGCUGUGACUUGAGUGCGGUAGGGGAGCGGGGAAUUCCUGGUGUAGCGGUGUAAUGCGCAGAUAUCAGGAGGAACACCAAUUGCGAAGGCAGCUCGCUGGGACGUUACUGACGCUGAGACGCGAAAGCGUGGGGAGCAAACAGG
Molecule: ribosomal RNA, 254 nt
Filed under: uncultured bacterium
Lineage: Bacteria
Description: partial 16S ribosomal RNA
Rfam family: Bacterial small subunit ribosomal RNA
Source: RNAcentral